RNAcentral lists this ribosomal RNA (516 nucleotides) under uncultured bacterium. RNAcentral describes it as "bacterial SSU rRNA". It matches the Rfam family "Bacterial small subunit ribosomal RNA", at positions 24 to 518 of the family's 1533-position model. The record is from RNAcentral.
UCAGGACGAACGCUGGCGGCGUGCCUAACACAUGCAAGUCGAACGGGGAUUUGUUUCGGCAGAAUCCUAGUGGCGAACGGGUGAGUAACGCGUAGGCAACCUGCCCUCCGGCCGGGGACAACACUCCGAAAGGGGUGCUAAUACCGGAUACGAAGUCUGUGCCGCAUGGUACGGAUUUGAAAGAUGGCCUCUAUUUAUAAGCUAUCGCCGGGGGAUGGGCCUGCGUCCGAUUAGCUGGUUGGUGGGGUAGCGGCCUACCAAGGCGACGAUCGGUAGCCGGUCUGAGAGGAUGAACGGCCACAUUGGGACUGAGACACGGCCCAGACUCCUACGGGAGGCAGCAGUGGGGAAUCUUCCGCAAUGGGCGCAAGCCUGACGGAGCAACGCCGCGUGAGUGAGGAAGUUCUUCGGAACGUAAAGCUCUGUUGUUCCUGACGAACCUCCCCUUUAUCAACAACGGAGGGGACUGACGGUAGGGAACGAGGAAGCCACGGCUAACUACGUGCCAGCCGCGGC